UACAGAGGUCCCAAGCGUUGUUCGGAUUCAUUGGGCGUAAAGGGUGCGUAGGUGGCGCCGUAAGUCGGGUGUGAAAUUUCGGAGCUUAACUCCGAAACUGCAUUCGAUACUGCGGUGCUCGAGGACUGGAGAGGAGACUGGAAUUCAUGGUGUAGCAGUGAAAUGCGUAGAGAUCAUGAGGAAGACCAGUGGCGAAGGCGGGUCUCUGGACAGUUCCUGACGCUGAGGCACGAAGGUCAGGGGAGCAAACGGG
RNAcentral lists this ribosomal RNA (253 nucleotides) under uncultured bacterium. RNAcentral's name for it is "partial 16S ribosomal RNA". It matches the Rfam family "Bacterial small subunit ribosomal RNA", at positions 524 to 776 of the family's 1533-position model. The record is from RNAcentral.